RNAcentral lists this long non-coding RNA (214 nucleotides) under Elaeis guineensis (African oil palm). RNAcentral's name for it is "long non-coding RNA (EGUI_LNC028332)". Lineage: Eukaryota; Viridiplantae; Streptophyta; Magnoliopsida; Arecales; Arecaceae. The record is from RNAcentral.
GAGAGGCCCUACAAUACCCAUAUGUGCCCCCACAGCCCUGUUAGGGACAGGAGGAGAACCUCACCCUAACUUGAGCAAAGUCGAAGGCUCGGUUACCCUUAGACUGGAUGGGGGGAGAGGUCCUACAACACCCAUAUGUGCCCCCACAGCCCUGUUAGGGACAGGAGGAGAACCUCGCCCUAACUUGAGCAAAGUCGAAGGCCCGGUUACCCUU